AUAUUGACUUUGUAGCCUUACACUGGAGGAAAAAGAGCAAUCCUGAGAUUUUUUUUUCUUCUUUUUCUUCUGUGAGCACUGGACAGAUGUUGAGGAUUCUCCCUUUCUCUUUUGGCUUGUUCCUUGCAGUAGGGGAUAGAGAAUGAGGUGGUUUCCCUGCCAUAUCUUGGGGCUGAAUCUGCUGGAUCUGGACCCAGCAGCUUCCUAGACAGAUACUUGUCCUGACCCUUGUAGCAGCACUUAGUGCUAAGUAAAUUCAAGGCUACACAGUUAUUGGAGCACUGUGGGAAUAUACAAGGAACAAAGAUUUUCGAAAGUGCCCAUGGAUUUUAAAAUCUCAGACUUCAGACAUAUACCCUGAGAAAACCAAGGGAAACCUGAUGGCAAACCUGCACCAGAGCAACUACUUCUGCAAACCCAGUGCUGCUAGUGUGUCUGCCCCAUCCAAAAGCCUUCUCGAAAUGCUCUGCCUCCCAGGAUUUUCUAAAUAUUCUCCAUUCAUCCCCAUCGUAAUUCACACCUUAUUUUUUUCCCCUCUGUGUGACUCAGUAACAGUCACCUCCCUUUUUUAUUUUUCCUAGUUAAAGGUCAGCCUGAGCUGUGUAUUACAGAUGAAAGGAUGCAGCCCAAAGCCAGCCUAGGGGCCCAGUUUGUGUUGUGGAUCUCUCCUGAGGGCACCUCUGUUUGCAAGUGUGUGCCUUGCAACUUCUGAGAAGCCUACAGAGAUUGCUAUUGUUUAGGAUAAGUUCUGUCAAAUUUAUUAUUCGAUAAUUUUUUUUUCAUAUUUCCUUCACAGAACCCAGCCACUUUCAGGCUGUAAUUUUGAGCCUACUCUGUGCCAAGUGUCAGGAAUGACUUUUUGUCCUCAACGCUGAGGAGACAUUUCCCACCAGUGCAGAUAAAAGUGUCUCUUCCCUCCAAGGACAUAGAGGAGGAGAUGGCAGAAAGUGAGCUAAGUUCUGUUUUCACACUUGAAGGUAAAAUGUUACCAGAUUUUGUCCAUCCACACAUGCUCCUUAAGAUUUAAUCUUGAAGUAUCUGUUCUAAUGUACUUGAGCAAACAGUAGAUAGACACAGUGGGAGGGAGUUCAAGGGCAGCUGCAGUAAGCCCUAGGUGUAAAUACAACUGAGGAGAAAUAAAAAAGGGAUGAUCUCCUACUGAAGCCAACCCCCAAAGUGAGAGAACCUCUACGGGACUUCCUAUAAGGAAAAGACAUGUUCACCAUCCUCAUUUUUCUCUGUAGCUCAUGUUUUCACCUAGGUUGCCAGGUGGAUGUUUACUUCCAAAGCAGAUGUCUCCUUCCCCCUGCCUGGAUCCCACUGGCUGUGGACAGCGUGGCUGCUGGCACACUGUAACACCUGGCUCCCCCCAUGAUUAAUGCUCAGAGCUGUGGCUAUGUGGGUGAAAUCUGCAGCACUGCCAUGUGUGCCUUUAGUUUAGUUUCCAGACUAUGCAGAUACAUGUGGUAGAAUCUUUAUAUAUACACCUUUGAGAUGCACACCUAUAAAGGGAAUACACCAAAAUCUUGUAACCUUGUAUCAGUUGUAAAUAAGGAAUGGCAUCUCAUGGCUUUUUUUAUUCUUUUGAGGGGAUUUUAUCUAUAGGUUGAGCGUGUUAAGGGAGUUUACCUCACUGCAGGUGUACCUAGCACUUUUAUUGUGAUGGAGCACAGAUUGCACCAUGAUUUCUGAAGAGGCUGCUCUUUAAAGAGGUAAGAUACAAAGCAACAAGCACAUUCAUAUAAUAGUUCAUCAUUUAAGGUAACACAUUCUGCCUGACAUGUAGUGUUUUGCACAUUUUGAAUUGUCUCCUGCCAAAAUAUUCAGGCCUGCAGGGGGAACCCCUAUUGGGAACACAGGACAGAUGGAUCUGAAUCCAGUCAUGAAACUCCCUGGGGCCAGCAGUGUGAUGUUAAUGAUCACACCACAGUAAGAUGUAAAACAUACCUUUGUGCAGCUCAGUGUAAACAGCAACUUUGGUAUUAUGAUGUAAAUGAGAAACCAGCAAGAAAUGAUGUGUGAAUGGAAACACAGCAAGGUGCUCUGAGGGAGCAGGAAGCACAGUGCAAGGGGAAAUUCUGCACAUUGCAAAUGGAGGUAAAAUUAAACCCUGGACUCGUUUCAUUGUAGAGAUAAACUUUAAAUACUACUUGGGCUGAGCAGAAGGGAGGAAACUCACCAAGCUGUACCUAACCUCAGCCAAGGUUCUGGCAGGGCAUUGGAUAGGUUACCAUUAGGCUUGGGUUCCUGGGAUCACCAGUUAAGAGCUGGAAUGUGGGACUGGGUCCAAAGGGAAGAUAAAAAUCACCAAUAUACCUUAUUCUAAUAUAUCCUAUGGUCCACCUUCCUGCUCAAAUUAGGGCUGGCUUUGAAGUUAGGCAGUGUUGCUCAGGACUUUGACUGUCUGAUUUUCAGGUGUCUCCAAGGGCAGGGAUACCUCUCUGGGGAGGCUUGUUCUAGUGUUUGGACAACUUCAUGGUGAAAACAUUUGCUGUAGCAUUAUGUAAGACUGAAAUGGCACCAUGUUUGGAGGGCAUGAAAGACGAGAACCUGAGAACAGGUAGAAAUUAAAGGGACUAGAGGGGCUAUCCAGAGAUGCAGGAUGUGCAGCUGGGUCCCCAGCAUUAUUUCAGAAAUCCCUGGUGCCCCUCUGGAAGUCCUCCCCUGAGUGGGUAAUGGCAGCUUGCCUUGGAGAUGUGAUUUGCAUUGGGUCCUGGUGAAACAGAAGGUGCAGUCAGAGAGCCUGGUGUCGCCAAGGUAAUUUAAAAAUGUGCUGGGCAGCAGGAGUGGUGCUGUGUCUGCUGCUGGCUGUAUUGUAACAGUGAUGUGCCUCUUUGUCCCAGAGUUCCCUGUCCUCUUCCUCUCAUCUCUAGCAAAGGAGUGAAGGGCUUGCUGGGAAGCUGAGCUUGAAGCUAGAGGAGGUCAUACUUAACUAACCUCCUGGAGUUCUUUGAAGAUAUUACUGCCAGGCUAGAUAAGGGGAAUUCAGCAGUAUGCUUAGAGUUUCAAAGAGCAUUUCACAAAGUUCCACAUCAGAGAUUAAUAGCUAAGGCAAAAGGUAAAGGAAGAGGAGGUAAUAGAGGCUGUUGGAUCAAAACCAGCUCGAGGGCAGGUAUGAGACAAUAAGCACAGAUGAAAACUUUUCAAGCUGGCAGAAGGCUGUUCUUGGGACUGUUUCAGGAUCUCUGUGAUGUGUAAUCCAGACAGCACAAAGGUGCCCCACCAUGCUCAUGUCUCUAAGGCAGCCUGGGUUUGGCACCACCAGCAGCAAAGUGUCCUAGCUAGACCUCCUUCUGACUUCCCAGCCUGAUCAGCCAGGAGUCCUUUCAUGUCUCUGUUGGGUGGGAGCAGUUGUCAUGGUCUGAAGUCACCAGUUCCUCUGGGGCCAUGUCAAGGGGCUGCCAGCCCUGCUGCACUGCCACGUGUUUCAGAGCAGUCUAUUUGCUGAGCCUGCUCCUCAGAAACACUGUGUGCACAUGAAGCUGCUGAGGUCUGAGAAGUUACUCCAGCUUUGCAGUGGGUUGAGGGAAGAGAUAAUUUGGUGUAAGGUCUCCCCAAGUCUGUGCAUAACCUCAGCAGAUUCACCAGGGCCAAAAUCUCUUCAAUGACUCUGCUAACAAAUGACAAAAUGGAAUUAAAUGUGGAGAAAUGCAGAGUAAUUAAUCUGCAAGCAGUGAAUUGGUCUGGGGAAUAUGCCUUAACAGAGCAAGCAUUCAGCAGAGGAAUGAAGAGAGGGAUUUGAUGUGUGUGUGGGGUUAGUUUCUUUUGGAAAAAUCCUUGAAACUGUCUGCCUAGAUCACAUCCGUAGCAAAAGGGCAAGCAAGACACAAGGCUGCAUUAAUGGAGGGACAGGAUAAAAUCUAAAAGAGGUGGUGUGUCUAUUGCUGGUAAAGGCAUUAGCUCCCACCUGGAAUAUUGUCAGCAGUGUUGGCCACUGCACCAGUGUAGCAUAAGGCAACCAAGAGUAGCCCUGCAGAACCUGUGCACAAAGGUGAGAGAGCUGGAUUUCCCUCCACAGGCUUCUUCCCACUGCAUCCAUUCAUCAUCUAAGAGGAAAUCUGAGGAGCACAAAGGAUUUCCCAUUAACUCUAACAGAUGUUGGGAGUUUUGAAGUCAGUUAUAUUUUUCUCCAGAGUAUUUAUUUCUCUCUGUGUUUCUCUUGUUUCCUUCCACCCAUUUCUUCUCUUCUUUUACGGUUUCCUCUUUUCUUGCUUCUUUCUGUCCUACCCCAAGCCAGGGGGUUGGUUUGUUUUUCCCUAUUACAUUGCUUCUCCUCCACCCCUGCCCAGGAAAAGUCAACUCACUUCUGGCUCCUGAAGGAGUCCCAUCUCCAGUGAAGGGAUUGUUACUUACAGGCUGUGCAGGAGGGUGAAAAAUACUUUUUUUCCACAUAGAUUUGGAUGAAAAGAAAUCAAAGCCAUUGCUUUUGAAGAGGAGAAGCUCAGCAAUCAAACUGAAGGCAGGGCAUGGAAUAUUACUCAAACUGACCAUUGAAACUCUCAGAUGUGGCUUUCCUUCUACACUCAAAGGAGUUCACAAUGCCAUGGCUGUUUCCAAUCAUGAAAAGUCAGUACUAAAAUCUUCCUUUUUUUCCCCCUGGUGUAUAUUCAGAGCAAGUUCAGCAUGUUGCUCUGAAUUUACCCAGCUAUAGAGGACAGCUGAUUUAAUUUGAGCUGUACAAGAGGCAAGCUUAUUUUGCUUUCCCUUGGAUUAUGGUAAGCUUGUCAAUCAAUGCCCAGGGCCAGUCCAUACAACACAGUUGUGCCAGGUAAGAAAUGCACUUGUCAAACUGUCAAAAUAUCCAUUUCUUCUGCUCUUCUCUUAACCAGUUGUGAACACUGAAGGAAGGCUGAGAAUUUUAGGUCUGUAUGUACGUUGAGCUGUAAGGUAUAAGUCACAAUCAUGAUAGCACCUUAAAUGAUAGCAAUUAAUAUUUCUCAAAACUAGGGCUUUUUUCCCUCUUCAUUGACUGAUACAGCAAUCAACGGACUGAUGCACAAAAUGAUAAAAUAGGCCUCUAAUAAGAAAAGGAAAACCUAUUAUUCUUGCUGUUUAAAUCCCCUGAAGCAGGAUUGGCUAUUGCUAUAAAAUCAGUGGAAUUAUACUUGCUAUUUCAACUUGCCAAACCAACCUUUUAUCCCUUUAAAUUCAGGUCUUUAGAGUAACUUGCCAAAAUAAUCUCUUGGCACCACUGAGGUGAGAAUCCACAUUGUGCUGCUCACAUAACUUCCUUGCUCAUAGAACCAUUCAUCCUGGAAAGAUUUUGACUGGGGACUUGUGCUUUUAACCCUUUUAGCUGCUUUUGAAAAUGCUGCCUUGCUAUCUUGCGGAAAAAGAUCAUGCCAUAAUGUACCAUGACAAUGGUGGUUGUGAGGAGUGUAAAGAAACAUUUAAAUAGAAAUUACAGCUAGAAAUGACAGCAUGUAAGGAAAAAUCAAAUUACAGGAUUUACCUUCCAAUUCUUAAGGGCAAAGAAAUUUAUUUGGCCCUUUUCUUGGAUGUAACUGGGCGAGGGAAAGAAAUACCGAGUCUCAUAUGAUCUUAAUUAUACGCUCUGGGUGCCAGCAACUUUCAGGGUACAUGUGGAUUCUUGACUGAGGCUCAGUGUGUGAACUUUGUCACUAGAGGACUGUGUCACACACAGAGCUGGGACAGGAGCCAUCAUUCACAAUUCAAACAAACCCCAAGCCCUUCAGGGAUUGAAAAGAAAUAUUCAGUUAACCAUAAAAACCGUGGCACGAUUCUCCAUACCCUUGUGCCCUUGGGAACAGAAAUACUUCAGGCUUCAAGUCAGGCCCUUCUUGUGAGGCUCUUGGACUGAACUGGAACCAUCAGCUAUUCAAACUAUUGUACAAAAUCCCGCUCUUUUGCAACUCCCAGCAGUUUUUCUAGACAAGGAGCACUAUAAUUCUAAGCUAUAGAUGCUUUCACUUCAAAACUUUUCCCUUGAUUUCUUGGGUAUCUUGGCAGAGGGUGUUUGGACACGACAGAGCCUGGAGGUCCAUGCCUUGCCGUGGGACAGAGCUGACAGUGGAGAAAAGGGGCAGGUGCUGGGUGCAGGAGGCUGAUUGUUACCAGCUGCAGCAAAAGUGCCUGUUUCCUGUCAAGUUUCAACAAGAAAAUCUAGGUGAAAGAGAUGAUGUUGGGAACAUUUUUCUGUAGGUGCUUGGUCUUUGUGUGUUGACUGAAGGCCUGCAAGACUUCGCUUGUCUGGCUGUAAGCCCCUCGGUGGAUUUUGUAACAGCCCUUGAGCAUGAGAGAUGGUGCAGCUGCUUCCAUCCUCCCACCUGAGCCACCUGAGCUGCAGGGAGAUGUCAGGCAUGUUGCACCCUUACCCCUAGGACACAUCUGAGUUUGGUGUCACAACGGGAAUCUCGUUGUGAGGAGCAGGAAGGUGUCCUUCAUGUUGCCUCUAGAACUGAAGUUAGGCCACUUUCAUGUUCCUACCUCAACUGCGUAUGGGAGGAAGAGGGCACACAGGGAUAUUCUUGUGCUCUUCUGGGAUUCCAUCCUUAACAGAAAGCAUACACAACUGGGGGGGAUGUUCCUGUGGCCAGCUGUGUGACAGCAAAAUUACUGCUCUCAUGAUAAGCAAUAGAGGUUCUGCUGCUGUUCAGAAAUAUACUGAAGGUUCAGACCAGAAUGAAAAUCAGUCCUACACAUGGUUGUUCACACUGUGAGCUCUUUAUACUGUCUUCAGGGGGAGAAAGUCUGCUGUGGAGAUCCAUCAUGUCCUGGCAAUUUAGAAGAAUUAGAGGGAACAUGCUACUUACCUAAAAGAACAAAUGCGAACAUAUGGAGAUAGCCUUUUUUUUCUUAACCUUAGGAAGUACCAGCAAAGAUUUUCAUGUUUGUAAAUUGUCAUUUUCUUAGAGCAAAGCCUUAUGGAAAAGUCAAGGUUUUUUUUAUGGAAGACGUGAUGGAAACUAUUACAGCUCUGAUCCUCGCUAUUGCUAGAAAAAACAGAGGUAGCAGCAGAAGAGGAAAGUAAGCGCUAAAGGUCAGCUAUGAGCCACAGGAAAAAUGAUGUGGCCUCAUCAGAGUUUUCUUUGGCUUCCUGAGGUCCCUACCUGCCCUCAAGAGAGUCCUUUCUUCAUUGGCUCCUGUGUGGAUCUGUCCUCUGAUGGCUGAACAAAUUGCUCUUCUCAGCAGUGACCAAACAUGAGAAUAACAGCUUUUCUCAUGAGGAUCACAUCUGGGCAACUGCUGUCAUCUUUCUCUGUCCUGCUUGCUCUAACUCUUGACUUGGAGAGGGGAAGACUGGUGUUUCAAUGUAUGAAAUGCCAGCUGGGAUCAAAUCAAUAACAUUGAUUUCAUCUUGCGCCUCCAAAGAGCUGGGACUUUUCCUUUUAAUUUUUUUUUUCCUGUAGCUCUAUUCUUUGCGAAGUAGAAGAGUGAAACAAAGACAUUGAGUGCUGCCAGUGGUCCUCAGGCACAGAGGCCAGAGCCAGAGCUGCAGAGCCCUCCAUGGGUUUGAAUAGCUUCACUCUCACUGGACUAAAUCAGGUUUGGAUGUAGGAACUUGGUUUUCACUUUUUGGGUUGGUUUGGGUCACUGUUUGUGAGUCCUAACAGGACAGAGUGCCCUUGCUUGCUGGGACCAGCCCUGCAGCCAGCCCAGGGCCAGAUGCCCAGCUGGUGAAGGUGACCACAUACCUUAACCUUAGAGAGUUAGGGCAGGUUACAGUUGCCUAUGUCAUGUCUCUGUAGGUUUUUUGACACAUUAUAGUCGUGCCUACACUGACUGUUAAAGACAGUCAUUGGUGACUUCUUUUGUGACCAGAGCAAGCUCUCUGCAGCAGCAGGUACUGCAGGUUGUUGAUGCAGCCCCUUGCACCUACAGAGCAGGCAGCAAGGGUGGGAGGAGGGUCUGCUCUGCUCCCCACUUCUCAGGGCAGUAUGGACACAGCCUGUAAAUCCUGCUGUGGAGCAGUUGUGGUUUGUCAGGUUAAGGCCCGUGGAGUGGUUAUGGAUGCUAAAGUAAUGCCAAGAUCUUCCUAUGGACCCAGUAGUUCAUAAAGUAUCAGAGGGCAGAGCAGGACAAUUCCUAGUUAGGCAAAUAAAGUAAAAUAUAAAUGGAAAGAUGUAAACUUGAUAAUCCAAAUGAGUUUACUUUCCUUUUUAUAUGACAGAUGUUGUUUGACCUAGGAGAAAGAAUAAUAUUAUAGAAAUGGAGAUCAGUCUGAGGGGAAAAAAAUAAAGUCAUAUAAAAAUAAACCACAAAUAGCAGCUGCUUGAAUUGUAUUUCUAAUAUAUCAGUGUUGACAGCUCUCUCUGUCCCCCAGUUGAGCCAGGAAUCUUAUACAAGUGGCUGGUAAAGAAGAGAUGAGGAGGGAUGUGAGCAGAGGCAACGGAGAGGCAGAGAUGAUACUGCUUUGUGUCGGCUCCAGAUGAAAGCGAUCUCCUCCUAAGCUUCUGUUUUCACACUUCUGAAUGGCAGCUUCCUCAUCUCAACCUCCUGAUGCUCCUCCUCGGGGCUUGAAGCUGGGGACCAGCUUGAGCCCUGAGUGUGUGUUCUGCAGCUCUCGGGUGUACAGCUGUGGCGUGGGCUGGAGUGGGUGUUUGUUAGCACAGGGGAAGCUCACUGGUAAUGGCCUUUUGUGUGUGCUGACCUCUGAACCAGAAACAAGAUUCAAACCUCAGAGGAGACCAGUGAUUAAUCAAAUUGGGGAUCAACUGUGACUCAACCUUUAGAUUCCCAGCUGAGGUUGUGUCCAUGGCUGAUUAAAAGAGGGAAAUAUAUUUAGCUAUUUACAGCUGUAUCUCCAUCUGAAAGAGGACAAGGCACCAUGGAUAAACAUAUUUAUGUUUGUUAGAUGUGCAAAUUGUGGUUCCUUUGAAAACCUCACAGUUCAUCAUAGAGCCUCAGAAAGCACAGGGCUGUUUAUUGACGCUAGAGGACUUCCCGAGACUGUGCCGUGGCCAUCCCUGCUCGGAGUACUUGACACAGGCUGGCACAUCAGCCAGGGAAAAACACCCAGGCAUUGCCAUCUGCACAUGAAAGACUAAAGGUGGCUCCAAGCAUUCCUCUGUAGGAGAUAAUUUUCCCCCUCAAUUAGGUUACAAUUUCUAGAUGCUGCACCUCAGAAGCUUACACUCUUCCCAAGCCCAGCUCUACAGUCAGCCAGUGGUGAACAGAACAUACAGACUUUCUAUUGCUAAUAUAUUUCAGAGUGCUGUGUGAUAUUAGCAAACUCCAAAUAGCUGUCAGGACCUGAAGGUAUUCUGGAACAUCCUUUGAUGUUACGAAGUAAUGCGUUUUCCAUAUUAUUCCUUUGAACACAUUAUAUAUGCAAAGUCUAGCACUUCUUAUAGGAGAGGUGGAAUUAUCAUACAAUAAGAUAUUUUUUCCUCUAGUUCUUUCAUGGCUCAUAACAUAUAAAAUUUCUCCUUAAAAUCCGGGCUAGGAACUCAAACUUAAUUUAUACAGUAUUGAAAACAUUACAGGGCAUAAAUCAGUUCAAUUUUUAAAGUUCCUGCAUGAUAUUUUCAGAGCAGCCGAAUUCCUUCAUUCGCCUGGACUCCUUCCAAAAUUCUGCCAGCGCUCAUGGAAAUCUAAAUAACUUUGGAGAAAAAGCAGGUUUUCUGUGGAGGCUCAGAUUACCCUGUCACCCUUCCUCCACUGCAGACAGGCCUCUGAUAAACAUGGAGAAUAGGGACAGGGAAAUUACUUCAUUACUUCAUGUCCUUUUCAAUUACAAACAUCAAGGAGUCUGAGCCUCCUGCCAGCUCACGCCCCAGACCCUUGCAAAUUUGUGGCUUUCAAAAGCCAACAGUUGCAUUUCCUUUGCCAGCAGGGAUAAGCGAUAGAAAGUGAGCAGGGGAGCUCUCUUGAAUUUUAUUUCUGAGUGUUAUUUAAAAAGUUUCAAAUCUCAGCUCUGUUUAUUUAAAGUAGGACUCCAGCUGAAAUGUAAGUCUGUGAACUAGAGAAGUGAUCAAAACAGGACCGCACCUUCCUUUCUUUUUUGAGAAUUAAUCACUUACUGGUGGUGUGUUACUGUAAUCUUCCUGUGAUCACUUAACCUGGAAGUGGUACUUCCAGAGAGCUUUGUGAUAUUCUCCUGCUGGCAUCUUCAGAUCUACUAUUUGUACCAUUCAUCUGUUUUCCCAGCACAUGAGGAUAAUGCAUUUGUUUUCUACCACCUUUGCUUUGUGUUUUGAUUUACACCUAAAGAAACAAGUGUAUUUUCUUUGAUGUAAUUUUUCCAUUAUUGAUGAACCAAUAUUACAAAACCAAGGCUUUUUAAGAUCUUACUUAGAAACCUCGUUGUUUCUACCAAAUAACAAAAAAAGUAAACCCCAGUUUCAGAACGCUGUGGCAGGAGUGAAUCUGAUUUCCUACUUAGAGCACAAACCAUAGAGGCUCAACCUCUGCUCAGUUUUUAGGUUUUUUUAGGCUUAAAGUCACCGAAAUAGAAGCCUGUGUUUGGGUUAACCACAGGUGUCUGUGUAUAGCUCUGGGAGGGUUUGCUGGGAUUAUUCUGUUCCUCUUUUUUUACACCAUGAUUCUGCAGUGUGGGCUCAGGUGACUUGGUACCUCAGCUGGCCAGAUGUCUGCCCUGCAGUGGUGUUAUGUCCUGAUCACCUUUGUGAUCAUCUUUGUGGUCAGGAGAGAGAGAGAAGGGAGAGGAGGACCUGUGAAAAGGUUGUGGGGUUCUUCAGUGCUUUGCAAUUCAGGUUUUGCUUUGAUAUGAAUUCAACAAUCCAAACAUUCUUGUGAAAUGAAUCUGCAGUGGGUGUGGGUAGAGCAAACAGGUGAUGACAUGGAAAUCAAGAGGCUAUCCAGAAGUUCUCACUACAUCUUUUCCCAGGUUUUACUUGUUUCUUACUUGCACAUUAUUUGAAUACUUCUGUUUAAGUCAGUGGGAAUUUUUCUAAGUGAAAUUGAAGUUGUUACCUAGAAGGUGUGCAGAAUCUUUUUGAUGCCUUCAAAGCUUCAUCCCUUGGCUGGAACUCUCCUGGAUUCAGGCUCUGUGUGGGUAUGUACAUGUAUGUAUGUGUGUGUUUGCUUCUUGAUAUUUUCUGCUACCUCUUGGGCCAUAAAUAUUGUGUGAACCACAACAGAGGCAUGUCUACUGCUGGUAUCAGCCCAAGUGUGGAAGUACAUAAAACAAAAAAGUACUAAGGAAAAGUUCACCAGACUUGGAAACUCCCAGCUGGCAAGGGAGCUGCCUGGAAUGAAUGAUCUAUACCUGGAAUAAUUUUGUGUACUCACUGACUCCCUAAGAUAGGAUGCCAAAACUGGUUUUUUGCAUAAUGCUAAGGUCACAAUGAUGUAGGUAUUUUUUAGUUAAUGGAAAUUUUGGAUGUGCUGUAAGCAAUUUUUUCUUUUAAGAAGGAAGACUGCAGAUGGACUAUCAUUCUAUUUGCUGAUAUGUAAUAAGGAAAGGUGUAUCAACCCAAGAAUCCUAUUGUUGUGACAAAUCACAAGAAGGGGAGUAAGACAGUGCCUGCUAAAUGUAGCCUGUGCAAAUCCAGUACAUUCCAAAUCCAUGGAGUGAAAUACUGUUUGGAAUAAAAUAUGAUCGAAACAUUUCUGGAAAUAUAACUCUACUGGCUAGUUCCCCACCUGGACUUAGUUUUCAUAUUGUAGGAGAGUAAUUAAAUUUUUAUUCUUUUUAAAUUAUAGCCCCCCCCAACCCAAUAUCAGUUCUCUUGUCUUCCCACUGAAGCAAGCACUGUUAAGCUGCUAUAACUUUAAGAGCAUGAAAGCAAAUGUUGUAAAGAGGUCACUGUAAAGGUCACGCAGCAGGUUUGAUGUGUCAGUGGAUAAAUGAUGGGAUCACAUCUGGAACAGUUUGGUGAAUAAAUAAAAUGUGAAAGCUCAUAUAUCACUGCCCACCUUCCAAUCUGUAAGGGAAAGAGAAAAUAAAUUCUCUAAUAACCUUGUAAAGCACAUAAAAGAUAUUGAAUAAACUCUUGAAAUUUUGUGACUAAAA
Molecule: long non-coding RNA, 11938 nt
Organism: Pseudopipra pipra
Lineage: Eukaryota; Metazoa; Chordata; Aves; Passeriformes; Pipridae
Exons: 2
Source: RefSeq, a predicted model, not a curated record